UUGUCUUCAGUUGCCAGCACGUAAAGGUGGGAACGUCUGAAGAUACUGCCCCGGUUAACCGGGGACGGGAAGGUGGGGAGUGACGUCAAGUCCUCAUGGCCCUUAUGCCCAGGGCUACACACGUGCUACAAUGGCAUAUACAAAGGGUCGCGAUACCGCGAGGUGGAGCCAAUCCCAUAAAGUAUGCCACAGUUCGGAUUGGAGUCUGCAACUCGACUCCAUGAAGUUGGAAUCGCUAGUAAUCGCAGAUCAGCAUGCUGCGGUGAAUACGUUCCCGGGCCUU
This 283-nucleotide ribosomal RNA is filed under the name uncultured Desulfobotulus sp. Its description in RNAcentral is "partial 16S ribosomal RNA". It matches the Rfam family "Bacterial small subunit ribosomal RNA", at positions 1105 to 1382 of the family's 1533-position model. The record is from RNAcentral. Lineage: Bacteria; Pseudomonadati; Thermodesulfobacteriota; Desulfobacteria; Desulfobacterales; Desulfobacteraceae.